RNAcentral lists this unclassified non-coding RNA (300 nucleotides) under plant metagenome. RNAcentral describes it as "partial contains small subunit ribosomal RNA, internal transcribed spacer 1, and 5.8S ribosomal RNA". The record is from RNAcentral.
UAACCGUAGGUGAACCUGCGGUGGGAUCAUUACAAAACAAAAGAUAAGAGAGAGAUUUUGCUUCUUGGGCACAUCGCCUAGAAGGAAAAUCCUGUCUUUGAAAUCUAUGUGAACUUGUAAUUGUUUUUGGUGGUUUUUGUUCCGUGGAUCAAUGUAAAUCCCACCAGCAUUUUUCUAUAUUGACUAUUUUUUUAAAAUUAUUUUUACUUUUUGCUUCUUUUUUUUUUUGAAAAAAAAAUAUAAGAAAGAUGAAAAAAAAUAAAUUAAAAACAACUUUUGACAAUGGAUCUCUUGGCUCUC